AAUUUGCAAUUUAAUUUUAAUCACAAAACAACCCUAAAAACCCACCUAAGAGGCCUGCGUUAAUGAUGGUCUAAGAGGUUUCCAGUUUCUCCUGGCUUUGCUGCUGGACCAUUUGACAGCUCUAAGCUGCACAGUGUCGAUAUAGUAGAGGUUAUGGAGAUUACAUUUGGGGAUUCGCGGCGGAUUUGUUGGCGGCAACGGCCGUGGGGAGAGUUGAUAAUUAGAGAGUGUUUGGUGAAUUUGGAGAAAUGAAAAAGUCGAAAGUACAAGAAAAUUAAACUUUCGGGUAACAUUGAAAGUAAAUGAAGAAAUUGAGGGGUCAUUUCGCCAAUUUAGUUAUUUUAAGUGGAGAAGUAGUAAAUAAGUUCUAUGUUCCGUGACAUUGAAGGUACCAUCAGAGAC
Molecule: long non-coding RNA, 402 nt
Organism: Arabidopsis thaliana (thale cress)
Lineage: Eukaryota; Viridiplantae; Streptophyta; Magnoliopsida; Brassicales; Brassicaceae
Product: other RNA
Exons: 1
Source: RefSeq